AUUCCGGAAAAAAGCUAUCUAACAGCAAGCUAUAUAUAAUUUAUUUAGUGCGUGAAAAGCCGCACAUAUAGAAAAAAGACGAGAAGACCCUAGAAAUUUUUUAAAAAUUUAGUAAAUUCUAUUUUGUUGGGGCGACAUAGUAACACUUAACCUACUAUAUCAACAUGCUACUUAUAAGACGUAAGAUAAAAUUACUCUAGGGAUAACAGCAUAAUUUAUUAUUAAGUUUGUGACCUCGAUGUUGGACUAGGAAAUAUUUUAU
Molecule: ribosomal RNA, 262 nt
Filed under: Trochulus villosus
Lineage: Eukaryota; Metazoa; Mollusca; Gastropoda; Stylommatophora; Hygromiidae
Description: partial 16S ribosomal RNA
Source: RNAcentral